AGUGAACGCUGGCGGUAGGCCUAACACAUGCAAGUCGAACGGCAGCACAGUAAGAGCUUGCUCUUACGGGUGGCGAGUGGCGGACGGGUGAGGAAUACAUCGGAAUCUACUUUUUCGUGGGGGAUAACGUAGGGAAACUUACGCUAAUACCGCAUACGACCUACGGGUGAAAGCAGGGGAUCUUCGGACCUUGCGCGAUUGAAUGAGCCGAUGUCGGAUUAGCUAGUUGGCGGGGUAAAGGCCCACCAAGGCGACGAUCCGUAGCUGGUCUGAGAGGAUGAUCAGCCACACUGGAACUGAGACACGGUCCAGACUGCUACGGGAGGCAGCAGUGGGGAAUAUUGGACAAUGGGCGAGAGGCUGAUCCAGCCAUACCGCGUGGGAGAAGAAGGCCUUCGGGUUGUAAAGCCCUUUUGUUGGGAAAGAAAAGCAGCAGGUUAAUACCCCGCUGUUCUGACGGUACCCAAAGAAUAAGCACCGGCUAACUUCGUG
This 492-nucleotide ribosomal RNA is filed under the name uncultured bacterium. RNAcentral describes it as "partial 16S ribosomal RNA". It matches the Rfam family "Bacterial small subunit ribosomal RNA", at positions 29 to 507 of the family's 1533-position model. The record is from RNAcentral.